UAACUUUGUGCGGUGGAUCACUCG
This 24-nucleotide ribosomal RNA is filed under the name Arion subfuscus. Its description in RNAcentral is "partial 5.8S ribosomal RNA". Lineage: Eukaryota; Metazoa; Mollusca; Gastropoda; Stylommatophora; Arionidae. RNAcentral also lists the same sequence under 1 other name. The record is from RNAcentral.